RNAcentral lists this ribosomal RNA (1484 nucleotides) under uncultured bacterium. RNAcentral's name for it is "bacterial SSU rRNA". It matches the Rfam family "Bacterial small subunit ribosomal RNA". The record is from RNAcentral.
GUGAACGCCUGGCGGCAGGCCUAACACAUGCAAGUCGAGCGGCAGCGGGUCCUUCGGGAUGCCGGCGAGCGGCGGACGGGUGCGUAUCGCGUAGAUAACCUGCCCUCCGGCGCGGGACAAUCACGGGAAACCGUGGCUAAUACCGCACGUCCUCUGGACCCCGCAUGGGGACUAGAUGAAAGCUUGGGGUUACCCUGACCCCUUUGGAUGGGUCUGCGUUGGAUUAGCUUGUUGGUGAGGCAGCGGCUCUCCAAGGCUACUAUCCAUAGCUGGUCUGACACGACGAUCAUCCACCCUGGGACUGACACACGGCCCAGACUCCUACGGGAGGCAUCGGUGGGGAAUCUUGCACAAUGUGGUCACCCCUGAUGCGGCCGUGCCGCGUGGACGAAUACACCCCUAUGGGGCGUAAACUCCUUUUCUGAACGACUAAACCCCUGUACGUUCAAGGCGCGACGGUAAUUCAGGAAUAACCACCGGCUAGCUCCCUGCCACCAUCCGCGGUAAUACGGAGGGUGCAAGCGUUGUCCGGAAUCACUGGGUGUGAAGGGUGCGCACGCUGGGCAGCAAGUCAGAUGUGAAACCCCAUGGCUUAACCUUGGAUGUGCAUUCGAAACUGUUGCUCUUGAAUCCCGGAGAGGCUGUCCGAGUUCAUGGUGUAGCGGUGAAAUGCGUAGAUAUCACGAGGAACACCAGAGGAGAAAGCGGGCAGAUGGACGGGUACUGACGCUCAGGCACGAAAGCGUGGGGAGCAAACAGGAUGAGAUACCCUGGUACUCCACGCGGUAAACGAUGAACGCUCGCCGUUGCCCCGCUCAAGGGGCAGUGGCUAAGUAAGCGAGUUAAGCGUUCCACUUGGGGAGUACGAUCGCAAGGUUGAAACUCAAAGGAAUAGACGGGGGCCCGCACAAGCGGUGGAGCAUGUGGCUCAAUUAGAUGCAACGAGAAGAACCUUACCUAGGAUCGAACGCUAGAGGACCGAUCCUGAAAGGGAGCUUCCCAUUUGGGGCAUCUAGCGAGGUACUGCAUGGAGGUGGUCAGCUCGUGUCGUGAGAUGUUGGGUUAAGUCCCGCAACGAGUGUAACACCUGGUGCUAGUUACCAUCGGGUAGUGCCGGGGACUCUAGCGAAACUGCAUGGGCAAGCAGUGAGGAAGGCGGGGAGGACGUCAAGUCAUCAUGGUCGUUAUGCGUAGGGCUGCACACGUGGUACAAUGGCCGGUACAACGGGUAGCCACCUGGGAGGAAGGAGGGAAUGCGGGAAAACCGGUCCCAAAUUCCGGAUUGGAGUCUGCAACUGGAUUCCAAGAUGCAGGAAUCGAAUAGUAAUAGCGGUUCAGCUAGGAGGUGGUGAAUGCGUUGCGAGAGCCUUGUACACACCGCCGGUCCAGCCGUGGAUAGCUGAGAGCGCCUGAAGUCCGUGACUAGAACGGAGGCCUUACGUUUGGAGGGAGAGCGGCCCAAGGUAGGGUCAGUAACUGGAGGU